UCAUCACUCUUUACCUAGAUUCAAAGAUGAAAGCCACUGAGUUGACUGUCUGGUGAUGGUAAUCUGGUUUUGGAUGGCACAGAAGGUCAAAAUGAAACUGACAGUCACAGGAUGCCAGCUAAAGACAGGGACUGAAGGCAACUUGGUGUUUUAUAGGACAGAAGAACCAAAUUGGCCAACUCAUUUCCUGGAUGCUGGGACAGACAAGAAGGCCAGGGAUGGGAAGGUAAGAGUUUUCUACAAAAGGACAAACAGAAGCAACAAAUGGGAAGGAAAAACACGAGGCUUGUGAAAUCCCAAACCGGACUGGUA
RNAcentral lists this long non-coding RNA (312 nucleotides) under Fukomys damarensis (Damara mole-rat). RNAcentral's name for it is "lncRNA (ENSFDAG00000024623.1)". Lineage: Eukaryota; Metazoa; Chordata; Mammalia; Rodentia; Bathyergidae. The record is from RNAcentral.